Molecule: ribosomal RNA, 465 nt
Filed under: Discula attrita
Lineage: Eukaryota; Metazoa; Mollusca; Gastropoda; Stylommatophora; Geomitridae
Description: partial large subunit ribosomal RNA
Source: RNAcentral
GUUCUCAAUAAUUAUGUUGAUAACUAUUUCACGAAGGACAUGGAGCUAAUUAUAUUGUAGUAGUAGCUACUAAAUUAUAUGUGGCAACAUAUAAAAAAUACAUACAAUUAGGGGUGAUAGGCUUAUCAACAUGUUGGAUAUCUUGAUCCACAGGAAAAAUAUUAAGUAUUUAGUCAGAUUAGAAAUGGUUAGGUUUCUAAUAAACAUAAAAGAAAGCAUGGUAGGUUCAGUUUAUGUAACAGUUACUGUUUUUCAUUUAUUAUAAUACUACAUUUUUUAGUUUAUGAAGUUGUACUGUCGAACUAUACUUACUUGUUAGAAUAUUUUAUAAUGAAAAUAUUAGUAUUUUACUUAAGUUACGAAAAGGAACUCGGCAAAUCUUUGCUCAACUGUUUAACAAAAACAUAGCUAAACGCCAUUACGUUUGGUUUUUUCUGCUCAAUGAUAUUUUAAAUAGCCGCAGUA